RNAcentral lists this transfer RNA (72 nucleotides) under Phycisphaerae bacterium. RNAcentral's name for it is "tRNA-Thr". It matches the Rfam family "tRNA". From Rfam's summary of the family: Transfer RNA (tRNA) molecules are approximately 80 nucleotides in length. Their secondary structure includes four short double-helical elements and three loops (D, anti-codon, and T loops). Further hydrogen bonds mediate the characteristic L-shaped molecular structure. tRNAs have two regions of fundamental functional importance: the anti-codon, which is responsible for specific mRNA codon recognition, and the 3' end, to which the tRNAs corresponding amino acid is attached (by aminoacyl-tRNA synthetases). tRNAs cope with the degeneracy of the genetic code in two manners: having more than one tRNA (with a specific anti-codon) for a particular amino acid; and 'wobble' base-pairing, i.e. permitting non-standard base-pairing at the 3rd anti-codon position. RNAcentral also lists the same sequence under 1 other name. Lineage: Bacteria; Pseudomonadati; Planctomycetota; Phycisphaerae. The record is from RNAcentral.
GCCGACCUAGCUCAAUGGCAGAGCACAGCUUUCGUAAAGCUGAGGUUCUGGGUUCGACUCCCAGGGUCGGCU